This 1030-nucleotide long non-coding RNA is filed under the name Homo sapiens (human). Its description in RNAcentral is "non-protein coding lnc-FAM192A-3:1". Lineage: Eukaryota; Metazoa; Chordata; Mammalia; Primates; Hominidae. The record is from RNAcentral.
GUUUUGAAGCCUGUGGACCUUAAUGGUGUCAUCAAACUUUUUGAAGAGACUGCUAAAGAAGGCUUAGAAGAAAAGCAACUUAAAUCUGUCAAGAAACUGGUACAGUGUUAUCAGAAUGAACUUCCCUUAAGGGAUUUAGUACAGACAUUUGAAAUUCUGAAUCUGUGUGCAGUAAAAAUUGAAAACCAGCCGCAUUUUGUAGAAUCUGCAUAUGAUAUCAUAAAAUAGUGUGGCUUGCCAUUUUUGAAAAAGAAAGUAUCGGAUGAAAUAACUUAUGCUGGAGAUACUGCUAGUUCAGUUGCGCUUCUGGGUGACUUAAUGAAAAUACCAAGUUCUGAAUUGAGGAUAAAAAAUUGUAAACGUAUUGUUGACUUUUAUCAGGCACAACCACCAAAGGAGCAUAUUCCAGGUUACCAGCAAGUGAGUUCAUCAUACAAGAUUCAAAUGGCUGAAGUUGGAGGAUUGGCAAAAACAAUGGCCCAGUUAAUGACCUUGCUUGAAAAUCAACUUGUUGAGAAACUUUGGGUACUUAAAAUUCUGCAGCAUCUCUCGACUUCUGAAGUUAAUUGUACUGUAAUGAUGAAAGCACAAGCAGCCAAUGGAAUCUGUGCUCACCUCAAUGACUCAGAUUUCUCUGGACAGCUUUUAUUUCCUUCAUCAGAAACACUUUGGAACUUAUCAGAAAAAAUCUUCAAAAUAAGAAAUUGUUCAACAGCUUAGUAACUUGGAAUGUUUACUGACUUUGAAGGAAGUAUUUUAAAAUCUAUGAGAGGUUUUAGUCAUUAUGACCGUCAGCUUAGAAAUGACAUAUUAGUGAUCACUACAGUUAUAGCUCAAAAUCCUGGAGUGCCAAAGAUUGAAUGUGGCUUUACCAAGGAUUUGAUACUGUUCGCAACCUUUAAUGAAGUUAGAAGUCAAUCCCUUUGGUAAAGGACUUAAAUUUUCUAAAUCCUAUGAAGAUUUUGAGUUGAAUAAAUUACUAUUCACUAUAAUUGUGAUCUUAUGUAAAGAUUUAAAUACUAUACAGGUA